Molecule: ribosomal RNA, 238 nt
Filed under: uncultured bacterium
Lineage: Bacteria
Description: partial 16S ribosomal RNA
Rfam family: Bacterial small subunit ribosomal RNA
Source: RNAcentral
CGGCGGACGGGUGAGUAACGCGUGGGUAACCUGCCUCAUACAGGGGGAUAACAGUUGGAAACGGCUGCUAAUACCGCAUAAGCGCACAGUACCGCAUGGUACGGUGUGAAAAACUCCGGUGGUAUGAGAUGGACCCGCGUUGGAUUAGCUAGUUGGCAGGGUAACGGCCUACCAAGGCGACGAUCCAUAGCCGGCCUGAGAGGGUGAGCGGCCACAUUGGGACUGAGACACGGCCCAA